UUCAAAUCCAGAACUUUCAACUCUCUCUCUCUGCCGCAUUCUCUCUCUCUAAAACUCAUGAGUUCCGCACUUCUACACCAAACAAGACACAGGAAUUAUUAUUACCUUAGAGGAUUUCUUAGGGAGAAGAAUACUGGCGGUGGUUUUGGAAGGAGGAAGUAUCUUCUCCACCUAUACUCUGUUCAGAGAUGGAAUCGGGGUUUUAGAGAGAGAAAAUUGGUGGUUUAGCCCUAAUUUUUCACGAUUGAAGAACUGAACAACUAAAUAACUGUUCGCCGGCAAGGGGAUGCAGAAUCGUAGUUUUAGAGAGAGAAAAUCAGAACGUUUAAGCGAUUAUCGAUAUGACGUCUAGAUCUGGAUUGUGUAUUUUUUGUUGAUUUGUUUGAUUGUUUGAGUUGUGCUGUUUUUUAUUAGCUCUUUGAAUUAAUUGUUGAUAUAGUUUGGAAGGUAAAACUAAGUUAGAGGAAGAAUUAAAGCGAGCGGAUGUAGUUGUGUCGUUCUCAGAUCGACGCUUAAUUCAGGUUUUCAUCAACAUCUCUUUCUAAUUCGUUGCGUCUCAAAUUGACAGAUGAAUCCGCAUAUCAAUCUCAAUUAACUAGCCGUUGUUGUCAGCAAUUCCCUUUGUUAAAUUUGGUUAGACUUUUAAUUGGAUUAUAUCAUGUAGAUUUAUCAAUUGUUAAGUUUAGGAUACAUGUGUGUGAUGUGUUUGGAUAACUCAACGACAUUAGAUAGUUGAGGUGUAUGCUUCUGAAGAGGAUGGUUACUGGCAUGCCAAUGAGUCGAUGAAAGCUAAAUUGGCCAGAGAAGCGUUGUCCCAUCUACUAAAGUUGGUUGAGUCGAGGGUAUAUAAAAGGUAUCUGCUAUGAAAGUUUCAUCUUACUGAAACUUAUUAUUAGAUUUUGGGCUUCAUGCAGAUGCAGAAACGAUUAUUGCUUGUAUUUUAGUGCAAUUACUUAGUGUUCUCGUCAAUCAGAAGUGCUUUCCUCAUCAUAAUAGUAAAAUUGUGAAAAGUUAGUAAAGAUUUAAGUUGUUACAUAAGCCCAACUCUCCCAAAGCUAUAGCUAUUAUUAUAUCUUUCAGAAUGUGGGGUUACGUAAAAUUCGUUGAUAAUAUUGAUGCACAGGCUUAAUUUGAUGGUAGAUUCUCAAGAGUUCUCAAGAUUCUAUAGUUUUGUAUUCUUCAUUUGUCGUGAAAACGGUUAAAGAAGCAUCAGGUAAUUAUUGCUUGGAAAUUAGUAUUGUCUGGAAGAUUCAGAUUACUUAAUCAGUGGUGCAGCUUCUUUGAGAAUAAUCAGCGUCACAAUAUCUCUAAGGAUACACGGAGUCAAGUGUUGGCAUUUAGUCGCUGUGUACAUGAAAAUCUUGAAGGAUAUGAUCCCGAAGUUCACCUCUAGAAUUAAUUGCUUUGUUAUCUGAGUUCAAUGAAGCUGUUGAGUAGCUUGUACCAAAGAAAGGUUUUGCCAUCUCCUGUUGCACAGCAUGCUCUUCAUAGAGGUUUCCCUGCAGAUCUCAUUUUCACACCUGUUAAAGCCAGUGAGUUGCCUAUAAUCAGUGCUUACAAGCUCAAACAGAUAGCAUAAUCAGUGUCCAUGUCAUUAUUAUUGUAUCGUUACAUUCAGCCACGGGAGAGUGAGUUCAUCGAUUCACAGCGCGUUUGGGCUGAAUACGCUCUCAAGAGGCAGGAAGCUCAGUCGCAAAACAGGCGUUUAAAACUUGAAGAUUUGGAAGUGAGCUUUGCUUUUGCAUAUAUUAACAUGUGUUAAAGACUACUACAAGGAGCCAUAUCAUACGAUUGGCAUGGUUACAGGAAUAUGAUUUGCAGCCACAUCACAUUUGAGUACGCGUCUAUGUUUGAUACGCUUGCGAUGGAUCCAAAAAAGAAGAAGGAUAUAUUGGACGAUCUGAUUACGUUCAGCAAGUCUAAAGACUACUACAAGGAGCGGCAUCCGGAUUCGGAUUUGGACACCGCCACCUCAAGGUCAUGACCAUUUUCGGGCUGCUCUCCUUAGGGAUGAAAACGAGUCUAGGCAGGGUCGAGUAACUAACGGAAAAGGCGAG
Molecule: long non-coding RNA, 2057 nt
Organism: Helianthus annuus (common sunflower)
Lineage: Eukaryota; Viridiplantae; Streptophyta; Magnoliopsida; Asterales; Asteraceae
Exons: 9
Source: RefSeq, a predicted model, not a curated record